GGUAAAGGGAAAUUUCGUAACAGACAGACCGGAGCUGACAAGAGAAAUAAACGUCACAAAUUGUGGUUACUGGAUUAAAGAAAACGACAAGAAAACGUGGCUGAACUGGCAUGCAGGACUUGCAAAAGUUGACGUUGCAUCCGUGGUGGUCAUAUGUUUCAAAAUCAAUGUAGAAGAUGUAGUCUUGUCGAUCGUUUUUCUAGUCACCAGCUGAAAACCAUAGCGGGAGAUACAGUAGUCCAGAGAAAAUUUUACUGAAGAGAACCAAGAUUUUUAACCAUUUAGACUUGUCAUGAACUAUGCUAGAGCAAGAAUUAAGAAUCGUAUAGAACGAAACAUAUAUAUUUUAGAAAACAUGAAGUAUAGAUGUGUUUGUGGAAAACAUAGUAUUUUAUGUCAAAUAUACAUAUGUAUAGAAUAGAAAAGGGAAAUUAAGUUGAUAAUAAAUUAGAUAAAAUAACUUUCUGCCGUGGUAUAUAUCUCAACUACCUGAAAAAGAUUAUUGAGGAUUUGAGCGCCUUUAUUUGAAGAUUGACUAUAAAAGGUAUUAAACCUUAAUUUCUGACGAAGGGCAGUUUGUUUGGCUCGAAAUAUUUAUCAAUCAUUUUCAGGCAGUUCAGAGCGGGUAAACUGCAGCAGAUUAUUGAUGCAGAAUGGUACCUAUACAAUGUACCUCGCACACGUUUGGGAUGAAGACGUUUCUCAACAAUAACAAAUUUUGUGUUUAUAACCGUUUAAUUUAUAAGAACUGUAUGUGAAAAACAGUAUAAUAGCCCAAAGGGCCCUAAAACGCUUGUAUUAAACAUUGUAAAAUCACCACCUGUAAAUAUCAUCAUUCGUAUAUGUUUAUAUAUCAUAAAUAAUUGUAGUGGGGAGUAAUGGUAUAUAUGUAAACUUAACGUGUAUAUUUUGGUUAUUGUAGAAAUAUAUUGAAGGGGAC
Molecule: non-coding RNA, 940 nt
Organism: Paramuricea clavata
Lineage: Eukaryota; Metazoa; Cnidaria; Anthozoa; Malacalcyonacea; Plexauridae
Source: the annotation of a GenBank genome assembly